UGGGGGAAUAGCGAAGUGGCUAAACGCGACGGACUGUAACUCCGUUCCUUCGGGUUCGUAGGUUCGAAUCCUACUUCCCCCAU
Molecule: transfer RNA, 83 nt
Filed under: Periweissella ghanensis
Lineage: Bacteria; Bacillati; Bacillota; Bacilli; Lactobacillales; Lactobacillaceae
Description: tRNA-Tyr
Rfam family: tRNA
About the family: Transfer RNA (tRNA) molecules are approximately 80 nucleotides in length.
Source: RNAcentral